UGUAGAGCCUUACAACAGUGU
RNAcentral lists this non-coding RNA (21 nucleotides) under Arabidopsis thaliana (thale cress). The record is from RNAcentral. Lineage: Eukaryota; Viridiplantae; Streptophyta; Magnoliopsida; Brassicales; Brassicaceae.